RNAcentral lists this ribosomal RNA (711 nucleotides) under Candidatus Pelagibacter sp. AAA795-L23. Its description in RNAcentral is "bacterial SSU rRNA". It matches the Rfam family "Bacterial small subunit ribosomal RNA", at positions 140 to 887 of the family's 1533-position model. Lineage: Bacteria; Pseudomonadati; Pseudomonadota; Alphaproteobacteria; Candidatus Pelagibacterales; Candidatus Pelagibacteraceae. The record is from RNAcentral.
GGAAUAACACGAGGAAACUUGUGCUAAUACUGGAUAAGUCUUUACGGAGAAAGCUUUAUGCACCAUUGGAUGAGCCUGCACUUGAUUAGUUUGUUGGUAGGGUAAUGGCCUACCAAGACUGUGAUCAAUAGCUGAUUUGAGAGGAUGAUCAGCCACAUUGGGACUGAGACACGGCCCAAACUCCUACGGGAGGCAGCAGUGGGGAAUCUUGCACAAUGGAGGAAACUCUGAUGCAGCGAUGCCGCGUGAGUGAAGAAGGCCCUUGGGUUGUAAAGCUCUUUCGUCGGGGAAGAAAAUGACUGUACCCGAAUAAGAAGGUCCGGCUAACUUCGUGCCAGCAGCCGCGGUAAUACGAAGGGACCUAGCGUAGUUCGGAAUUACUGGGCUUAAAGAGUUCGUAGGUGGUUGAAAAAGUUGGUGGUGAAAUCCCAGAGCUUAACUCUGGAACUGCCAUCAAAACUUUUCAGCUAGAGUUUGAUAGAGGAAAGCAGAAUUUCUAGUGUAGAGGUGAAAUUCGUAGAUAUUAGAAAGAAUACCAAUUGCGAAGGCAGCUUUCUGGAUCAUUACUGACACUGAGGAACGAAAGCAUGGGUAGCGAAGAGGAUUAGAUACCCUCGUAGUCCAUGCCGUAAACGAUGUGUGUUAGACGUUGGAAAUUUAUUUUCAGUGUCGCAGCGAAAGCGAUAAACACACCGCCUGGGGAGUACGACC